UAGCUGUGAUGAUAUCUGUGCGUCUAUGCGGUGAUAAGGGUCUCUGCUGUUUUCCGACUUUACAGGACGAUGAGUUGUGCAUCUGAGCUU
Molecule: small nucleolar RNA, 90 nt
Filed under: Nicotiana sylvestris (wood tobacco)
Lineage: Eukaryota; Viridiplantae; Streptophyta; Magnoliopsida; Solanales; Solanaceae
Also listed under: 1 other name
Description: small nucleolar RNA snoR114
Rfam family: small nucleolar RNA snoR114
Source: Rfam by way of RNAcentral